RNAcentral lists this ribosomal RNA (463 nucleotides) under uncultured bacterium. Its description in RNAcentral is "partial 16S ribosomal RNA". It matches the Rfam family "Bacterial small subunit ribosomal RNA", at positions 28 to 507 of the family's 1533-position model. The record is from RNAcentral.
GAUGAACGCUGACAGAAUGCUUAACACAUGCAAGUCUUUGGCGAAGCUGUGCUCGCACAGCCUAGCCAAGGCGGACGGGUGAGUAACGCGUAAGGAACUUGCCCUGCAGUCAGGGAUAACAGACGGAAACGACUGAUAAGACCUGGUAAAGUCAGGCGGACUCAUGUCCAGCCUGAUGAAAAGAGAUGCUGCAGGAGAGCCUUGCGUCCUAUUAGCUUGUUGGUGGGGUAACGGCCCACCAAGGCGAUGAUAGGUAGCCGGCCUGAGAGGGUGGACGGCCACAAGGGGACUGAGAUACGGCCCUUACUCCUACGGGAGGCAGCAGUGGGGAAUAUUGGACAAUGGGGGCAACCCUGAUCCAGCAAUUCUGUGUGCACGAUGAAGGUUUUCGGAUUGUAAAGUGCUUUCAGGAGGGAAGAAAAAAAUGACGGUACCUGCAGAAGAAGCGACGGCUAAAUACGUG